GGGGUCGUUAUGGAUUCGACGGGUAUAGGUUGAGCCUGGAUUGCGUUUCGUGCUGCGUCACGUAAAAACGUCCAGUUUAUUAUAACUGCAAAAAAUAAUAACAAUUCUUACGCUUUAGCUGCCUAAUAAGCGC
Molecule: transfer-messenger RNA, 133 nt
Filed under: Lentilactobacillus parabuchneri
Lineage: Bacteria; Bacillati; Bacillota; Bacilli; Lactobacillales; Lactobacillaceae
Description: partial transfer-messenger RNA
Rfam family: transfer-messenger RNA
About the family: Bacterial tmRNA, also known as 10Sa RNA or SsrA, is named for its dual tRNA and mRNA-like properties.
Source: RNAcentral